UGAACGACUCUCGGCAACGGAUAUCUCGGCUCUCGCAUCGAUGAAGAACGUAGCGAAAUGCGAUACUUGGUGUGAAUUGCAGAAUCCCGUGAACCAUCGAGUCUUUGAACGCAAGUUGCGCCCGAGGCCUCCUGGUCGAGGGCACGUCUGCCUGGGUGUCACGC
Molecule: ribosomal RNA, 164 nt
Filed under: Salix matsudana
Lineage: Eukaryota; Viridiplantae; Streptophyta; Magnoliopsida; Malpighiales; Salicaceae
Also listed under: 3 other names
Description: 5.8S ribosomal RNA
Rfam family: 5.8S ribosomal RNA
About the family: 5.8S ribosomal RNA (5.8S rRNA) is a component of the large subunit of the eukaryotic ribosome. It is transcribed by RNA polymerase I as part of the 45S precursor that also contains 18S and 28S rRNA.
Source: RNAcentral